RNAcentral lists this ribosomal RNA (497 nucleotides) under uncultured bacterium. RNAcentral's name for it is "partial 16S ribosomal RNA". It matches the Rfam family "Bacterial small subunit ribosomal RNA", at positions 28 to 507 of the family's 1533-position model. The record is from RNAcentral.
GAUGAACGCUGGCGGCGUGCCUAAUACAUGCAAGUCGAGCGAACAGACGAGGAGCUUGCUCCUCUGACGUUAGCGGCGGACGGGUGAGUAACACGUGGAUAACCUACCUAUAAGACUGGGAUAACUUCGGGAAACCGGAGCUAAUACCGGAUAAUAUAUUGAACCGCAUGGUUCAAUAGUGAAAGACGGUUUUGCUGUCACUUAUAGAUGGAUCCGCGCCGCAUUAGCUAGUUGGUAAGGUAACGGCUUACCAAGGCAACGAUGCGUAGCCGACCUGAGAGGGUGAUCGGCCACCCUGGAACUGAGACACGGUCCAGACUCCUACGGGAGGCAGCAGUAGGGAAUCUUCCGCCAUGGGCGAAAGCCUGACGGAGCAACGCCGCGUGAGUGAUGAAGGUCUUCGGAUCGUAAAACUCUGUUAUUAGGGAAGAACAAAUGUGUAAGUAACUAUGCACGUCUUGACGGUACCUAAUCAGAAAGCCACGGCUAACUACGUG